CAAAUCAGGUAGGAGUACCCGCUGAACUUAAGCAUAUCAAUAAGCGGAGGAAAAGAAACCAACCGGGAUUGCCUUAGUAACGGCGAGUGAAGCGGCAAAAGCUCAAAUUUGAAAUCUGGUACCUUUGGUGCCCGAGUUGUAAUUUGGAGAGGGCAACUUUGGGACCGUUCCUUGUCUAUGUUCCUUGGAACAGGACGUCAUAGAGGGUGAGAAUCCCGUGUGGCGAGGAGUGCGGUUCUAUGUAAAGUGCCUUCGAAGAGUCGAGUUGUUUGGGAAUGCAGCUCUAAGUGGGUGGUAAAUUCCAUCUAAAGCUAAAUAUUGGCGAGAGACCGAUAGCGAACAAGUACAGUGAUGGAAAGAUGAAAAGAACUUUGAAAAGAGAGUGAAAAAGUACGUGAAAUUGUUGAAAGGGAAGGGCAUUUGAUCAGACAUGGUGUUUUGCGCCCUCUGCUCCUUGUGGGUGGGGGAAUCUCGCAGUUCACUGGGCCAGCAUCAGUUUUGGUGGCAGGAUAAAUCCGUAGGAAUGUAACUUGCUUCGGGAAGUAUUAUAGCCUAUGGGAAUACUGCCAGCUGGGACUGAGGACUGCGACGUAAGUCAAGGAUGCUGGCAUAAUG
This 615-nucleotide ribosomal RNA is filed under the name Saccharomyces x bayanus. Its description in RNAcentral is "LSU rRNA". It matches the Rfam family "Eukaryotic large subunit ribosomal RNA", at positions 1 to 636 of the family's 3401-position model. Lineage: Eukaryota; Fungi; Ascomycota; Saccharomycetes; Saccharomycetales; Saccharomycetaceae. The record is from RNAcentral.